This 174-nucleotide unclassified non-coding RNA is filed under the name uncultured fungus. RNAcentral describes it as "sequence contains ITS1". The stretch from base 1 to 105 matches the Rfam family "5.8S ribosomal RNA", at positions 50 to 154 of the family's 154-position model. Rfam says of the family: 5.8S ribosomal RNA (5.8S rRNA) is a component of the large subunit of the eukaryotic ribosome. It is transcribed by RNA polymerase I as part of the 45S precursor that also contains 18S and 28S rRNA. Lineage: Eukaryota; Fungi. The record is from RNAcentral.
GAAAUGCGAUACGUAAUGUGAAUUGCAGAAUUCAGUGAAUCAUCAAAUCCUUGAACGCAACUUGCGCUCGUGAGUCCUCUCACGAGCAUGCCUGUUUGAGUGUCGGUUUCCAAUCAUCACCCAUCCCACCCUCGCGGUCGGAUCGGCGUGGAAGCGAAUGGGAGUUGGACGGCU